GUACGGAAGGCAGCAGUCGGGAAUAUUGGUCAAUGGGGGAAACCCUGAACCAGCAAUGCCGCGUGAGUGAUGAAGGUUUUCGGAUCGUAAAGCUCUGUCUUUGGGGACGAAUAAAGUGACGGUACCCGAGGAGGAAGCCCCGGCUAACUACGUGCCAGCAGCCGCGGUAAUACGUAGGGGGCGAGCGUUGUCCGGAAUUACUGGGCGUAAAGGGCGAGUAGGCGGUUAUAUUAGUCAGAUGUGAAAUACCGGGGCUUAACCCCGGGGCUGCAUUUGAAACUGUAUAGCUUGAGUGCAGGAGAGGAAAGUGGAAUUCCCAGUGUAGCGGUGAUAUGCGUAGAUAUUGGGAGGAACACCAGUGGCGAAGGCGACUUUCUGGACUGUAACUGACGCUGAGGCGCGAAAGCGUGGGGAGCAAACAGGAUUAGAUACCCCAGUA
Molecule: ribosomal RNA, 439 nt
Filed under: uncultured bacterium
Lineage: Bacteria
Description: bacterial SSU rRNA
Rfam family: Bacterial small subunit ribosomal RNA
Source: RNAcentral